RNAcentral lists this ribosomal RNA (301 nucleotides) under uncultured bacterium. RNAcentral describes it as "partial 16S ribosomal RNA". It matches the Rfam family "Bacterial small subunit ribosomal RNA", at positions 509 to 807 of the family's 1533-position model. The record is from RNAcentral.
CAGCAGCCGCGGGAAUACGUAGGGUGCGAGCGUUAAUCGGAAUUACUGGGCGUAAAGCGUGCGCAGGCGGUUGUGUAAGACAGAUGUGAAAUCCCCGGGCUUAACCUGGGAACUGCAUUUGUGACUGGCGGGCUAGAGUAUGGCAGAGGGGGGUAGAAUUCCACGUGUAGCAGUGAAAUGCGUAGAGAUGUGGAGGAAUACCGAUGGCGAAGGCAGCCCCCUGGGCCAAUACCGACGCUCAUGCACGAAAGCGUGGGGAGCAAACAGGAUUAGAUACCCCCGUAGUCCCUGUCUCUUAUAC